Molecule: small nuclear RNA, 104 nt
Filed under: Choloepus hoffmanni (Hoffmann's two-fingered sloth)
Lineage: Eukaryota; Metazoa; Chordata; Mammalia; Pilosa; Megalonychidae
Source: RNAcentral
CUGCUUGCUUCAGCAGCACAUAUACUAAAAUUGGAAUGAUACAGAGAUUAGCAUGGCUCCUGUGCACAGAUGAGACACAAAUUCAUGAAGAGUUCCAUAUUUUU